GAUGAACGCUGGCGGCGUGCUUAACACAUGCAAGUCGAACGGUGAAGCAGGAGCUUGCUCUUGUGGAUCAGUGGCGAACGGGUGAGUAACACGUGAGCAACCUGCCCCUGACUCUGGGAUAAGCGCUGGAAACGGCGUCUAAUACUGGAUAUGUGAUGUGACCGCAUGGUCUGCAUCUGGAAAGAAUUUCGGUUGGGGAUGGGCUCGCGGCCUAUCAGCUUGUUGGUGAGGUAAUGGCUCACCAAGGCGUCGACGGGUAGCCGGCCUGAGAGGGUGCACGGCCAUCCUGGGACUGAGACACGGCCCAGAUUCCGACGGGAGGCAGCAGUGGGGAAUAUUGCACAAUGGGCGGAAGCCUGAUGCAGCAACGCCGCGUGAGGGAUGACGGCCUUCGGGUUGUAAACCUCUUUUAGCAGGGAAGAGGCGAAAGUGACGGUACCUGCAGAAAAAGCACCGGCUAACUACGUGCCAGCCGCCGCAGUAA
Molecule: ribosomal RNA, 484 nt
Filed under: uncultured bacterium
Lineage: Bacteria
Description: partial 16S ribosomal RNA
Rfam family: Bacterial small subunit ribosomal RNA
Source: RNAcentral